RNAcentral lists this long non-coding RNA (320 nucleotides) under Bos taurus (domestic cattle). RNAcentral's name for it is "long non-coding RNA NONBTAT012197". The record is from RNAcentral. Lineage: Eukaryota; Metazoa; Chordata; Mammalia; Artiodactyla; Bovidae.
ACAAUGUCCUUUGUAUGCAAAUGACAUUUCUACUUAAUGUACCAAAUUGGUUAUCUAAUUUUUAUAAUAUGGUUUAAACAGAUCCUUUCUAAGAUGACAUUAUGUAACCUUUACUUAACGAAGGAACAAUAUGUGUCUAGGUUAUUGCUUAUAAAAAAGGGAGGCUUUGUAACUAAGUCAAAUUAUAUAGCAGAAUCCCAAGUGACCAUCAUGUCACUUUUAAAAUUUGAAUGGAGUGAAACAGAAGGUUCAGUCAUGAGAAGACACCUUGAAAGCUACUGAAGUAUCCAGUGCAGGGCUAUAAAGUCUUAUUUCAUCAU